RNAcentral lists this ribosomal RNA (231 nucleotides) under uncultured bacterium. RNAcentral describes it as "partial 16S ribosomal RNA". It matches the Rfam family "Bacterial small subunit ribosomal RNA", at positions 32 to 240 of the family's 1533-position model. The record is from RNAcentral.
AAUCAACGCUGGCGGCGUGCCUCAGACAUGCAAGUCGAACGCGAAAGUCCCCUUCGGGGGACAAGUAGAGUGGCGCACGGGUGAGUAACACGUAGGUAAUCUACCUUCGGAUGGGGAAGUAACAAUCGGAAACGGUUAGCUAAUACCGCAUAAUGCAGCGGCACCUAAUGGUGACAGUUGUUAAAGCGGGGAGUCGAAAGACCUCGCGUCUGAAGAGGAGCCUGCGGCGGA